This 496-nucleotide ribosomal RNA is filed under the name uncultured bacterium. RNAcentral's name for it is "partial 16S ribosomal RNA". It matches the Rfam family "Bacterial small subunit ribosomal RNA", at positions 29 to 507 of the family's 1533-position model. The record is from RNAcentral.
AUGAACGCUGGCGGCGUGCCUAAUACAUGCAAGUCGAGCGAACAGAUGAGGAGCUUGCUCCUCUGACGUUAGCGGCGGACGGGUGAGUAACACGUGGAUAACCUACCUAUAAGACUGGGAUAACUUCGGGAAACCGGAGCUAAUACCGGAUAAUAUAUUGAACCGCAUGGUUCAAUAGUGAAAGACGGUUUUGCUGUCACUUAUAGAUGGAUCCGCGCCGCAUUAGCUAGUUGGUAAGGUAACGGCUUACCAAGGCAACGAUGCGUAGCCGACCUGAGAGGGUGAUCGGCCACACUGGAACUGGGACACGGUCCAGACUCCUACGGGAGGCAGCAGUAGGAAAUCUUCCGCAAUGGGCGAAAGCCUGACGGAGCAACGCCGCGUGAGUGAUGAAGGUCUUCGGAUCGUAAAACUCUGUUAUUAGGGAAGAACAAAUGUGUAAGUAACUAUGCACGUCUUGACGGUACCUAAUCAGAAAGCCACGGCUAACUACGUG